GAUAAACGCUGGCGGCGUGCCUAACACAUGCAAGUCGAACGCCCUUUUGCGCAAGUGAGAGGGAGUGGCGGACGGGUGAGUACCACGUGGGUACCUACCUUGAGGUGAGGAAUACCACCGAGAAAUCGGUGACAAGACCGCAUACGCUCGGGCAACCGAGCAAAGUCAUGCAAAUGACGCCACAAGAUGAGCCUGCGCCUGAUUAGCUGGUUGGUGAGGUAACAGCUCACCAAGGCGACGAUCAGUAGCUGGUCUGAGAGGAUGAUCAGCCACACUGGGAUUGAGAACGGCCCAGACUCC
RNAcentral lists this ribosomal RNA (300 nucleotides) under uncultured bacterium. Its description in RNAcentral is "bacterial SSU rRNA". It matches the Rfam family "Bacterial small subunit ribosomal RNA", at positions 28 to 339 of the family's 1533-position model. The record is from RNAcentral.